RNAcentral lists this ribosomal RNA (253 nucleotides) under uncultured bacterium. RNAcentral's name for it is "partial 16S ribosomal RNA". It matches the Rfam family "Bacterial small subunit ribosomal RNA", at positions 524 to 776 of the family's 1533-position model. The record is from RNAcentral.
UACGUAGGCAGCAAGCGUUGUUCGGAGUUACUGGGCGUAAAGAGUGCGUAGGCGGUGCUCCAAGUCUGUUGUGAAAUCUCCCGGCUUAACUGGGAGGGUGCGGUGGAAACUGGGGUGCUUGAGUGUGGGAGAGGUAAGCGGAAUUCCUGGUGUAGCGGUGAAAUGCGUAGAUAUCAGGAGGAACACCGGUGGCGAAGGCGGCUUUCUGGACGACAACUGACGCUGAGACGCGAAAGCGUGGGGAGCAAACAGG